CGAAGGAGGUGGCUCCCAUCUUUUUGUCUUAUUUGUAAGUUUCUUCAUGUCAUUUUUUCUUAUUUGUCUUCAUAUUAUAUUCAUUGGACAUUUUUUUAUGUCAUUUUUCUUUUUUCUUUUCACCUUUUUAUGUAUUUUUAGUUGUGUUUGCAAGUUUUCAAAACAUACGCAAGAGUAUGGCCAAUGCAUGAUUGGUUUGUAAUCAGCCAAAGGGAUUCUGUCAUAGAUCUGACAGAAGAACUAGAAAUUUCAAAACAAAGAUGGUCGAAGUAUUUCAUCAUUCAAUGAUAAUUGUUUAUUUAUUUCUUACUUUUUUCAUAUACUUUUUUUCACUCAAAGAAAAAAUCAUCAGGUGGCGCCCUGCUAUUUUAAACAAACCUUGACGACCCACAUGGAAAUUUGCAUGCAAGCUAUAUCGUCUCGCGGCAGAAGUUAUGAUUUUUUAUAGAGGAUGAGGAUGUCAAGUCGCAUAUUUAUGGAGCUUAUUGGAAAGCUUUUGUGCGAGCACAUCAGAUAGAGUUUGUUGAUGUUGUUUGUUUUGAGCCUGUAGCUUGGGGUAAUCCAACGUUACAGUGUUUGAUGAAGAAGAAAAUGAGAAGAUUGACAAUCACAGUGCUGGGAUAAUGCUAGUCCCAAACGAUGUUCGUGUGAUUUUUCAAGAUAUUUCUUUCACAGACUUGUGUAGUCUAACCGACAAUGCUAUCGGAGGGCUUGUCGGCACCCUAUCAAGCGACGCAGAGUUGGACAUGACCUUAUUGAUGCGGCAACUGGUGCGCUUGUCGAGAAUCGUCUCAUGCACACACUAACUGACGAAUAUAUCGAAGAGAAUGAAUUUGUAUGUCUAGAUAAAGUUUUUCUAGGGUUGGUGUUUUUUUUCUCUUUCUUUUUUGUACCGGUACUCAAAGAAGUUUGUUUAUUAAAGACUAUUCCGAUAGAGUUCAUUGACUCUCAAGAAAUGGAUGAAGAAGGACAAGUUUUUUUAUGGAAUACUCCCUCCGUCUGGAAAACUUGCCCCCGUGGCAAUUUUGCGAAAACCCCCUCACGGUAUUCCCAACAAGCGACACACUCCCCCACCCCCGCUCCUCUCCCCGCCAGUUCCCCCUGCUCGUAUCCCUUGCCGAAGCCCUCUGCUCGGCUCCCCAAGAAGCUUCCGCUGGCGUCGGCGGAGAUUCCCCGCAUAGCUCCCUGCUCUGCUCCCCUCCUUGUUCCCCUCCUCCGCCGCGUCGCUUCCCCGGGCGAGGAGAAGCCUCGAUUUUUCUGACCUCCCCCACAGAAGCCGCAGCUGCCCUGCUCCACCACCGCCGCAACUGCCUCCUCCGCCGCUCUCUCCUGCUCGCGCAGCUCCAGCUUGCCUUCCUCCCCUAGCUUCCCCCCUCCCUAGUGACCUCUGCUCUCUGCUCCAGCUGCUUCAGAUCCGGCGUCGGCAAGGCUGAUAUGGUGGUUGCGAGGCCAGACGGCAGGAGAAGUAGCCGACGAGCCCGACGACAACAAGCUCGAUGGCGGUGGAGACGUCUUCUCUACUGCGAGCUCCACCAUACCUGCAUAUAUUGUACUGCGAGCUCGACGACGGCGGUGGCGUCUUCUUGAAAUUGGAGCUUGGGUUCUUCUCAGCGGCAGCAGCACGAGCAGACCCGCCGAGGAGGAGCAGCAACUUGCAGACGAGCAACAGGUCGAGGAGAGGAGUGGGGGAGACAACAGGGAGCUCGAGGUUGAGGAUGAACUUCAGUUCCAGGCCCGCCGGGAGCUCCAGGUCCAGGCGCUCGAGACCUAAGCUGGCGCAGGCCCUGGGUGGCGGGAGGGGAUAGCGGCGCAGCCCUGGGCGGCGGAGGGGGUCACGGCGGGAGAAGAUGGCGGCGGCGCAGCGCCCUUCAGCCGUGUUGCCGCCGCCCGUCGAGGUGGUCGCCGCAGAGUAGCAGGUGGACGACGCAGCUCGCCUCGGGCCGCACAGGUGGGCACAGGCGGCGGUGGUUCACAGCGGUGGCGCAGCUCGCCUCGGGCGGUGGUGGUUCACAGCGGCAGCGCAGGCCGUGGCCGUCGUCACGCGCUCGGCCCUACGACGGUGGCUUGGGCGACCACGGUGCACGCGGCCGACGGAGAAAGGAGGAAGAAGCAGGGGGCUGAUUAGCAAGAGAUUUGAAGAUGAAAGGUUUUUUUUUUGCAAAAUUAGAAAUGAACUAAGCGCUGGACAACUUUUCUCGGACGGAGGGAGUAUAUGUUAAGGAAAAAGUUAGAGGAGGAACUUUCAAAGAUUAAUAAAGGGGAGGAGAUAAUGUGGUUA
This is a non-coding RNA of Triticum urartu, 2278 nucleotides long. Lineage: Eukaryota; Viridiplantae; Streptophyta; Magnoliopsida; Poales; Poaceae. The record is from RefSeq and is a predicted model, not a curated record.